GACGAACGCUGGCGGCGUGCCUAAUACAUGCAAGUUGAGCGAUGAAGAUUGGUGCUUGCACCAAUUUGAAGAGCAGCGAACGGGUGAGUAACGCGUGGGGAAUCUGCCUUUGAGCGGGGGACAACAUUUGGAAACGAAUGCUAAUACCGCAUAACAACUUUAAACAUAAGUUUUAAGUUUGAAAGAUGCAAUUGCAUCACUCAAAGAUGAUCCCGCGUUGUGUUAGCUAGUUGGUGAGGUAAAGGCUCACCAAGGCGAUGAUACAUAGCCGACCUGAGAGGGUGAUCGGCCACAUUGGGACUGAGACACGGCCCAAACUCCUACGGGAGGCAGCAGUAGGGAAUCUUCGGCAAUAGACGAAAGUCUGACCGAGCAACGCCGCGUGAGUGAAGAAGGUUUUCGGAUCGUAAAACUCUGUUGGUAGAGAAGAACGUUGGUGAGAGUGGAAAGCUCAUCAAGUGACGGUAACUACCCAGAAAGGGACGGCUAACUACGUG
Molecule: ribosomal RNA, 497 nt
Filed under: uncultured bacterium
Lineage: Bacteria
Description: partial 16S ribosomal RNA
Rfam family: Bacterial small subunit ribosomal RNA
Source: RNAcentral